This 69-nucleotide transfer RNA is filed under the name Himantura uarnak (honeycomb stingray). RNAcentral describes it as "tRNA-Ser". Lineage: Eukaryota; Metazoa; Chordata; Chondrichthyes; Myliobatiformes; Dasyatidae. The record is from RNAcentral.
AAGAAAAGUCUGGGGACUAUAAGAAACUGCUAACUUCUUUACCCAUGGUUCAAAUCCAUGGUUUUCUUG